CCCUUCACAUGUAUAUAAUCAGGACUCCCUGCAAUAAUAAAGGCUCGCUGUCAUUUGUCUCUCUCUCAAUCUCGUUACCACUGAGUAUACUAUAACAGACGGAUCCGGCGCCGCUGUGUCGGGCGGGCCUGACGGCACCGGCACCGGGCUGGUUCGUCCUUGUCCGGUAACCAGACGGCGCUGCUGAUGUGGUCCCGCGGAAGGCGGAAGAAUAUUAUCUCGUGCGAUGCGAUGUGGUGGCGCGGAGGCGGAGCGGAGAUCUGCACGCGAGCCGCGGGGCGGCAAUGCCAUGUUGGCAUGGCGCGCCGCGCGAGAAAAUAAUGCGGCCGGACAGCCUGGUGCGGACAGCCGGGCCGGAAGGGCGGGCGGAUCCGCAGGCCGCAGCGCAGGUGCGUGCGUGCCAGCCCACGCAGCUCAGAUGCCAGCACACACGAGGAAGCGGGAGCUUUUUUUUAACGCUAUACUAUUAUAUGUCCAUCGCCCUCAGCUGUGCUAUGCCAGAUGCCCAGAUCUGUAUUGGAUUCCGAUCGAUCCAUCCGAUCGUUCCAGAACUAGUUGAAGCUAUGUUGGUGGUGGAUGACGAAAGACAAGAACAGAUCGUGGCGGCGAGGGAUUGUAGUUAUAAUAAUGUGUAUCAGUUUAUGGAUGAAUAAAAACUUGCACUUUCCGUUCACCUGACAAAGGGAAUGGCGCCCCUGGGGGCGAUUGGCGCCGCCGCCGCCAGCCCUGAUCGCCCGCAUCCGGUUCGGGGGGUGCUCCGUCCUUUCUCCGCGGGCGGGGCUAGCGCUCCUCUCCGUGGUGGCCUCGGGUCGGCCCUCCCCGCGGCGGACUCGGUGUCCGGUCCUCUGCCCAAACCUCUUCUAGAGCCGGUAAGUGCUGAGCGCUCGUUCUCUGGCGGGCAAACUCUGCGCAGUGAUGUGCCCCCCACGAGCGUUCAAGACCUUCUCUUCCUCGGUUCUCCUCAACCAGAUCCGCAGCGGGCCGUUGCGGGCGGCAUUGAUCACAGGAGGAUUUCACUUUCAAGUUCCAGAUCUGAAAAGUGCUCUACGCCGGUGCUGCCUGAAGAUCCGCAUAGUCUGCUUUCGGCGCCGCGAAUCCAGGCGGCUGAAUCAUCCGACUGUCACUACACGACGGUUGAUCUUUAGCGACCCUUAUUAGGUACCAACUGUUGGUUGCUAAAGGUUAGGGAC
RNAcentral lists this unclassified non-coding RNA (1190 nucleotides) under Zea mays. RNAcentral describes it as "misc RNA Zm00001eb121530". The record is from RNAcentral. Lineage: Eukaryota; Viridiplantae; Streptophyta; Magnoliopsida; Poales; Poaceae.